GGGCAAUUAGUUCAGUGGUAGAACGCUGUCCUGAUAAGACAGAGGUCGAAGGUUCGAUUCCUUCAUUGCCCACUA
This 75-nucleotide transfer RNA is filed under the name Candidatus Liptonbacteria bacterium RIFCSPLOWO2_01_FULL_53_13. RNAcentral describes it as "tRNA-Ile". It matches the Rfam family "tRNA". Rfam says of the family: Transfer RNA (tRNA) molecules are approximately 80 nucleotides in length. Their secondary structure includes four short double-helical elements and three loops (D, anti-codon, and T loops). The record is from RNAcentral. Lineage: Bacteria; Candidatus Liptoniibacteriota.